UGGAUCACCUCCUUUCUAAGGAUAUAUUCGGAACAUCUUCGUAGAAGAUGAAGGAAUAACAUUGACAUAUUGUAUUCAGUUUUGAAUGUUUAUAUAACAUUCAACAUAUCUUCUUUUUCAAAGAAAGCGAUUCGCAGACAAUGCGUUGAGUUACUUUAAAGCGGAGUUUACUAGAGUAAAUGAGUAUUUAAAGUAAUGAUAACAAAGCAGUAUGCAAACGCUUGACUGGAAAUAGAACUUGUACAUUGAAAACUAGAUAAGUAAGUAAAAUAGAUUUUACCAAGCAAAACCGAGUGAAUUAGAGUUUUAAAGCUUGAAUUCAUAAGAAAUAAUCGCUAGUGUUCGAAAGAACACUCACAAGAUUAAUAACGCGUUUCCUGUAGGAUGGAAACAUA
Molecule: unclassified non-coding RNA, 395 nt
Filed under: Bacteroides fragilis
Lineage: Bacteria; Pseudomonadati; Bacteroidota; Bacteroidia; Bacteroidales; Bacteroidaceae
Description: partial 16S-23S ribosomal RNA intergenic spacer
Source: RNAcentral